ACACUUACCUGGCAGGGGAGAUGCCAUGAUCAGGAAGGUGGUUUCCCCGGGGCGAGGCUGAUCCCCUGCACUCCGGACGUGCUGACCCCUGCGAUUUCCCCAAACAUGGGAAACUCAACUGCAUAAUUUGUGGUAGUGCAGGACUGCAUUCUCGCUUUCCCCUA
Small nuclear RNA from Manis pentadactyla (Chinese pangolin), 164 nucleotides. RefSeq annotates it as U1 spliceosomal RNA. The record is from RefSeq and is a predicted model, not a curated record. The transcript has a single exon. NCBI's taxonomy places the organism in Eukaryota, Metazoa, Chordata, Mammalia, Pholidota, Manidae.